This is a long non-coding RNA of Gasterosteus aculeatus aculeatus (three-spined stickleback), 931 nucleotides long. NCBI's taxonomy places the organism in Eukaryota, Metazoa, Chordata, Actinopteri, Perciformes, Gasterosteidae. The record is from Ensembl.
CGAGCAGUCAGUCAGUUUGGGUGUUUGGGUUUGUGUCUGCGUGCAGGCUCUCAGCAGGAAAGAAUGCAGCCAAGACGUUCCGAUGGAGACGAAUGGGUCCCGGGGAGCCUCCGCGGGCUCCGGUGCCCAGGAGAUGACCCUCUCUGGCUGCAGGCGGCCCGGCCCGCUGAGGAAACUGAAUUUUGCUCAACGAUGUAAAAAGAUGGCUGUCUGAUUGACCCCCUCCCCGCCGCGUGGGCUUCGUCCACCAUCUUUGGCGUAACAUACAGAACGCCUCCCUGCGGAUACGACGAGGACAGCUUGUCAGAGACGUCUUUCUUUCCGCCGUCUCCUUCCUCAGAAGGAGCACGAACCCCUGAAACUCAAAAGCGUUUCCCCGUCAGCUCCUCACGCCGCUCUCGCCCUCCUCCCCGAAGGCAAAGAGCGGGGACACCGUGUGACGCGAAUUACCACGGGCCCGUCGGUGGCCAUAAACGCAGCAUCGAGUUCUCCCCAAACAGACGGCGGCCUGCGCGCUGACGCGGGGCCUUUGCGGGCGACGUCUUGGACGCCCCUCAGAUGGAUGUGACGGAGCCACUUAUCUCGGAGUUUAUAGGCCGGUAAUGAAACAGUAACCGGAGUCGUUUGCGCGCUUUAAAGUGGGUGUUGAAGUGGAAAUGUGCAGCGAGGCUUGGUGGAGCAUUAAGGCCUGAAGUGCGGCGAGCUGUAAACUGUGUACUCUGGACUCUCCCCGGGAAUCCUGCCUCUCACAGCCCGCCGCGGGCGGAGGAAAACGUCGGCCCCCGGCGGGCUCGGAGGGGAGAAAGACGCGCCGGGCGCGCGACGUCACGUCUGCCGGACUUGGCUUCGGUCUGCAGAGCUCGUUUGGGUUUCGCUUCCCUCUGCUCCGUGCGAGCUAAAUAUAAACCGCGCUGCGUCCUUCCAACUGAGC